RNAcentral lists this long non-coding RNA (274 nucleotides) under Octopus sinensis (East Asian common octopus). Its description in RNAcentral is "uncharacterized LOC118764680, transcript variant X2". Lineage: Eukaryota; Metazoa; Mollusca; Cephalopoda; Octopoda; Octopodidae. The record is from RNAcentral.
UAACAACGGAACAGCUAUUCGGUAAUAUAUGCCGAAUAAAUGAAUUUUUAAAAUAUAUUUCGAUGAAAAUCGGACAAGAGCGCGCAGAAGAACGCAGAAGAGAUGCCUUUAAAUGCCAUGUCUAUUGUGGCUGAGAGAAUAUUACAAUAAGAACCAGAAAUGAUAUGGAACGUUUUCAGAAGUCUAUACUACACACCUGUAACGUUUAACCAGUCAAAAAGUUUCGCUACUCAAUAAAGGAGACUCAACAUUUGACGAGAAAUCCUCACUAGUC